RNAcentral lists this long non-coding RNA (1189 nucleotides) under Cyanistes caeruleus (blue tit). RNAcentral's name for it is "lncRNA (ENSCCEG00000004129.1)". The record is from RNAcentral. Lineage: Eukaryota; Metazoa; Chordata; Aves; Passeriformes; Paridae.
AAAAUCCCUAAAUCUUCUCAAAACCCAACCACAUUCCUGCAGCAUCUCACAAAAUCUCCACCAAUUUCCACAAAAUCUAAGAAAAUUCCCUCCAAAUUCUUCAAGUCUCCUCCAAAUCCCACAAAAUUCAAGAGAAAUCCUCAAAAUUCCACAAAAAUCCAACAAAAUUCCUUCCAUCUUCUCAAAACCCAAACAAACUCCUGCAACAUCUCACAAAAUCUCCACCAAUUUCCAAACAAUUCAAGAAAAAUCCCGCAAAAUUCUUCAAGUCUCGUACAAAUCCCAGAAAAAUCCCACAAAAUUCCAGAAACAUCCCACCAAAUCACCUCAAUAUCACCAAACAUUCUGGAAAAGCCUCACAAAAUUGCAGAAAAAUGCCACAAAAUUCCCUAAAUCUUCUCAAAACCCUACCAAAUUCCUGCAACAUCCCACAAAAUCUCCAACAAUUUCCACAAAAUUCAAGAAAAAUCCCUCAAAAUUCACUGAAUUUCCUCAAUAUCCCACCAAAUUCCAGAACCAUCUCACAAAAUCUCAACAAAUUUCCACUAAAUUCAAGAAAACGCUCACAAAGUUCUUGAAAGCCCCUCAAAAUUCCAGAAAAAUGCCACAAAAUUCCCUACAUCUUCUCCAAACCCAGCCACAUUCCUGCAACAUCCCACAAAAUCUCCAACAAUUUCCACAAAAUUCAAGAAAAAUCCCGCAAAAUUCUUCAAGUCUCCUCCAAAUACCACAAACAUCCCACAAACAUCCCACAAACAUCCCACAAAAUUCAAGAGAAAUCCCACAAAGUUCAAAAGAAAUCGCACAAAAUCCUGUACAAGCCCCACACAAUUCCCUAAAUCUUCUAAAAACCCAACCACAUUCCUGCAACAUCCCACAAAAUCUCUGGAAAUUUCCACAAAAUUCAAGAAGACUCUCACAAAAUACUUGAAAGCUGCUGAAAAUUCCACGAAAAUCCCACAAAAAUCCCUAAAUCUUCUCAAAUCCCAACCACAUUCCUGCAGCAUCUCACAAAAUCUCCACCAAUAUCCAAAAAAUUCAAGAAAAUUCCCUCCAAAUUCUUCAAGUCUCCUCCAAAUCCCACAAAAUUCAAGACAAAUCCUCAAAAUCCCACAAAAAUCCCACCAAAUUCCAGAACCAUCUCACAAAAUCUCAACAAAUUGCCACUAAAUUCAAGAAAACUCUCACA